Poecilia latipinna (sailfin molly) is the source of this 697-nucleotide non-coding RNA. The record is from the annotation of a RefSeq genome assembly. Lineage: Eukaryota; Metazoa; Chordata; Actinopteri; Cyprinodontiformes; Poeciliidae.
UUUAAUCGCCUACAAUGAUAUUAUAAAACUAGACUAAUACUUUUAAUGACUAAAUUAUGACUAAAACUAAAUAUUUUAGUCAAGAGACAAACAUUAGAGGGCAGCAUGUGGCUACAGACUAAAAGGUGUUUGUUCAGUGAGUUGAUUGGUUAAGACAACAAGAGGAAGUGUGAUGUCACACAUCCUUAAAAAAACACCCGUUUAUGUUCGUCAUGUAAAGGUUUCAUAAUUUUAGGAAGAACAGCAGCAUGUAUGUUAAAUAGUCACUUCAACUGGAUUGAUAAUUCAGAAAACUCAACAAUAUGAUUGUCAUCUUCUGCUUAAUGUUCAACAUGAUUCAAGUUUUAGGCUCUUCCCUCAGCGAUCAGGUCCAUCAGACUCCAGCUGAUCUGUUCCAGGAGCCCGGAGGAACCGCCGUCAUCAACUGCACACACAGCAUUGACAGCUACGAUGUUAUCCUCUGGUACAAACACUCAACAAGCAGCCAGAUGCAGCUCCUGGGAUAUAACGAUGUUGUAAACGGAUACCCAGAGAAGGAUGUUAAGGUGAAAAUCAGUGGCAGCGCAAGCAAAGACAAGAUCUGCACUCUGACGGUGGAGGAUCUGAGUGUGAGCAGCAGCGCCGUUUAUUUCUGCGCCGCUAAAUACCACAGUGCUUCAUAUUAAUGCUCCCCAGCACAAAAACCUCCAGUUUAAUC